AAGAGGAAUGGAGAUCCCGAGGGGUCAAGUUCAGAGGGUCUGUUCUCUGCCCUUCCCGGCCCAUCUGCCCCUGGCCCCGACCCCAGCUCUGGCUGAUCCCUUCCCAGGAUCCAGAGAACUGACUGGCUGAGCCAGGCUACACUUCCAGGCUGUAGCCACGCAGUUCUAGAGAGAACGUCUUCAUUUCACAGAUGAAUCCUAAAGAGUGUCUCCCGAGAGAACCUGAAUGGUUGGCUGGGAAUGGCAGAACCACCCCAAAUCUCUGCUACAAGAUCCAGGGCCUUGUCCUACUCUGCCUCAGUCAGUUGGAAGGCGCAGGAGUCAUUCACCCUCUCCCUGAGAAACUGAUAACCAGCCAUGGACAUAGGAUGCGGCCAUCCUAACCAUCCACCUAGGAUCAAAGAAUGGAUGUGGAUUCUAGUUCUUCAAUGUAAGGAAGGAGGCACAGAACACCAAGGAGAGAUGCUGCCAAGGAAUUGAUAGAAGGCGUUUGGUUGGAGAGUCCUUGAGACUGGUCCCUCAUCCCUGCACAUGAUAGGAAACUGAAGCAACAGAAAUGUCAACAAACAUUGACAUUUGGUCUGUGUCAGUCUACUUGUGGCUCUUCAUCUGGAUCUUGGCUCCAAAUCUCACUUGAGGAUGUCUGAUAAGCUUCAAUUACUCAAGAGACUGAGCCAAGGCUGCCCUGGCUCAUAACUCUUCUGGACUCCUGGAUUUCCCAAGAAGGCAGUCCUCUGAAAGGCUAUGCGACGUCUUCCCAGGGCUGCCAUCUCGGACCCCUUUCCUCUGGCCUUGGGAGAGUAAAGAGCUACUUGUCUGUGGUGGACAACGGACUUGGGAGGGCUGGUACCAAGUAGCUUCUCCCCUCUGUGGCAUUUCCUGCCUCUGCCUUUCCUUUGACUUACAGACUCAUCUAACUCUCCAGCUUCCAUUAUGCCUGGCAAGCACCACUUUUUGCCCAUAAAGACAGCUUGCAUCUCUCUGG
Molecule: long non-coding RNA, 985 nt
Organism: Odocoileus virginianus texanus
Lineage: Eukaryota; Metazoa; Chordata; Mammalia; Artiodactyla; Cervidae
Source: RefSeq, a predicted model, not a curated record